RNAcentral lists this ribosomal RNA (468 nucleotides) under uncultured bacterium. RNAcentral describes it as "partial 16S ribosomal RNA". It matches the Rfam family "Bacterial small subunit ribosomal RNA", at positions 28 to 507 of the family's 1533-position model. The record is from RNAcentral.
GACGAACGCUGGCGGCGUGCUUAACACAUGCAAGUCGAACGGAAAGGCCCUGCUUUUGUGGGGUGCUCGAGUGGCGAACGGGUGAGUAACACGUGAGUAACCUGCUCUUGACUUUGGGAUAACUUCAGGAAACUGGGGCUAAUACCGGAUAGGAGCUCCUGCUGCAUGGUGGGGGUUGGAAAGUUUCGGCGGUUGGGGAUGGGCUCGCGGCUUAUCAGCUUGUUGGUGGGGUAGUGGCUUACCAAGGCUUUGACGGGUAGCCGGCCUGAGAGGGUGACCGGCCACAUUGGGACUGAGAUACGGCCCAGACUCCUACGGGAGGCAGCAGUGGGGAAUAUUGCACAAUGGGCGGAAGCCUGAUGCAGCGACGCCGCGUGCGGGAUGACGGCCUUCGGGUUGUAAACCGCUUUCGCCUGUGACGAAGCGUGAGUGACGGUAAUGGAUAAAGAAGCACCGGCUAACUACGUG